Schistosoma mansoni is the source of this 47-nucleotide non-coding RNA. The record is from Rfam. Lineage: Eukaryota; Metazoa; Platyhelminthes; Trematoda; Strigeidida; Schistosomatidae.
GUACUGCUGAGGAGUCCCAUAAUGGGGACGAAACGGCCGUCCGGUGC